RNAcentral lists this long non-coding RNA (339 nucleotides) under Salmo salar (Atlantic salmon). Its description in RNAcentral is "lncRNA (ENSSSAG00000112717.1)". Lineage: Eukaryota; Metazoa; Chordata; Actinopteri; Salmoniformes; Salmonidae. The record is from RNAcentral.
UGGCAUUAUGUCAUCUCCCCCUAUACAGGGUCAGUGAAGGUCAUCUCCCCCUAUACAGGGUCAGUGAAGGACAUCUCCCACUAUACAGGGUCAGUGAAGGACAUCUCCCACUAUACAGGGUCAGUGAAGGUCAUCUCCCACUAUACAGGGUCAGUGAAGGACAUCUCCCACUAUACAGGGGCAGUGAAGGACAUCUCCCACUAUACAGGGUCAGUGAAGAUCAUCUCCAACUAUACAGGGUCAGUGAAGGUCAUCUCCCUCUAUACAGGGUCAGUGAAGGACAUAUCCCACUAUACAGGGUCAGUGAAGGUCAUCUCCCCCUAUACAGGGUCAGUGAAG